RNAcentral lists this ribosomal RNA (253 nucleotides) under uncultured bacterium. Its description in RNAcentral is "partial 16S ribosomal RNA". It matches the Rfam family "Bacterial small subunit ribosomal RNA", at positions 524 to 776 of the family's 1533-position model. The record is from RNAcentral.
UACGAAGGUGGCAAGCGUUGUUCGGAUUCACUGGGCGUACAGGGUGUGUAGGCGGUUUGGUAAGCCUUCUGUUAAAGCUUCGGGCCCAACCCGGAAAGUGCAGAGGGGACUGUUCAGCUAGAGGAUGGGAGAGGAGCGCGGAAUUCCCGGUGUAGCGGUGAAAUGCGUAGAGAUCGGGAGGAAGGCCGGUGGCGAAGGCGGCGCUCUGGAACAUUUCUGACGCUGAGGCUCGAAAGCGUGGGGAGCAAACAGG